CGCCUCUUGAGAGAUAUAAGAGGUCCAGCCUGCCCAGUGACCUAGUUCAACGGCCGCGGUAUCCUAACCGUGCGAAGGUAGCGUAAUCACUUGUUCUUUAAAUAAGGACUAGUAUGAAUGGCACCACGAGGGUUUAACUGUCUCCUUUUUCUAAUCAGUGAAACUAAUCUCCCCGUGAAGAAGCUGGGAUUUUUUUAUAAGACGAGAAGACCCUAUGGAGCUUUAAACUAUUUUACACCUGCUGCCCACAAACCAACUUCCAGAAAUUAACCCUAAAGCAUAGCACUUUGAUUAAUAGUUUUUGAUUGGGGUGAUCGCGGAGUAAAAAAUAACCUCCACGACGAAAGGAUUUUUCCUGAGCUAUAAGCCACAGCUUUAAGCACUAAUAUUAUUAACGGCUAUUGACCCAAUAAUUUUGAUCAACGAACCAAGUUACCCUAGGGAUAACAGCGCAAUCCACUUCAAGAGCUCCUAUCGACAAGUGGGUUUACGACCUCGAUGUUGGAUCAGGGUAUCCUAGUGGUGCAGCCGCUACUAACGGUUCGUUUGUUCAACGAUUAAAAC
This 564-nucleotide ribosomal RNA is filed under the name Boana xerophylla. RNAcentral's name for it is "partial 16S ribosomal RNA". It matches the Rfam family "Bacterial large subunit ribosomal RNA", at positions 1827 to 2594 of the family's 2925-position model. The record is from RNAcentral. Lineage: Eukaryota; Metazoa; Chordata; Amphibia; Anura; Hylidae.